This 75-nucleotide transfer RNA is filed under the name Actinoplanes ianthinogenes. RNAcentral's name for it is "tRNA-Glu". It matches the Rfam family "tRNA". From Rfam's summary of the family: Transfer RNA (tRNA) molecules are approximately 80 nucleotides in length. The record is from RNAcentral. Lineage: Bacteria; Bacillati; Actinomycetota; Actinomycetes; Micromonosporales; Micromonosporaceae.
GGCGCGGUGGACGAAGGGGAGAGUCACCUGGUUUUCACCCAGGGAAUGUGCGGGUUCGAAUCCCGUCCGCGCUAC